Molecule: ribosomal RNA, 2787 nt
Filed under: metagenome
Description: bacterial LSU rRNA
Rfam family: Bacterial large subunit ribosomal RNA
Source: RNAcentral
AGCGUACACGGUGGAUGCCCUGGCAGUCAGAGGCGAUGAAGGACGUGCUAAUCUGCGAUAAGCGUCGGUAAGGUGAUAUGAACCGUUAUAACCGGCGAUUUCCGAAUGGGGAAACCCAGUGUGUUUCGACACACUAUCAUUAACUGAAUCCAUAGGUUAAUGAGGCGAACCGGGGGAACUGAAACAUCUAAGUACCCCGAGGAAAAGAAAUCAACCGAGAUUCCCCCAGUAGCGGCGAGCGAACGGGGAGCAGCCCAGAGCCUGAAUCAGUGUGUGUGUUAGUGGAAGCGUCUGGAAAGGCGCGCGAUACAGGGUGACAGCCCCGUACACAAAAAUGCACAUGCUGUGAGCUCGAUGAGUAGGGCGGGACACGUGGUAUCCUGUCUGAAUAUGGGGGGACCAUCCUCCAAGGCUAAAUACUCCUGACUGACCGAUAGUGAACCAGUACCGUGAGGGAAAGGCGAAAAGAACCCCGGCGAGGGGAGUGAAAAAGAACCUGAAACCGUGUACGUACAAGCAGUGGGAGCACGCUUAGGCGUGUGACUGCGUACCUUUUGUAUAAUGGGUCAGCGACUUAUAUUCUGUAGCAAGGUUAACCGAAUAGGGGAGCCGAAGGGAAACCGAGUCUUAACUGGGCGUUAAGUUGCAGGGUAUAGACCCGAAACCCGGUGAUCUAGCCAUGGGCAGGUUGAAGGUUGGGUAACACUAACUGGAGGACCGAACCGACUAAUGUUGAAAAAUUAGCGGAUGACUUGUGGCUGGGGGUGAAAGGCCAAUCAAACCGGGAGAUAGCUGGUUCUCCCCGAAAGCUAUUUAGGUAGCGCCUCGUGAAUUCAUCUCCGGGGGUAGAGCACUGUUUCGGCAAGGGGGUCAUCCCGACUUACCAACCCGAUGCAAACUGCGAAUACCGGAGAAUGUUAUCACGGGAGACACACGGCGGGUGCUAACGUCCGUCGUGAAGAGGGAAACAACCCAGACCGCCAGCUAAGGUCCCAAAGUCAUGGUUAAGUGGGAAACGAUGUGGGAAGGCACAGACAGCCAGGAUGUUGGCUUAGAAGCAGCCAUCAUUUAAAGAAAGCGUAAUAGCUCACUGGUCGAGUCGGCCUGCGCGGAAGAUGUAACGGGGCUAAACCAUGCACCGAAGCUGCGGCAGCGACGCUUAUGCGUUGUUGGGUAGGGGAGCGUUCUGUAAGCCUGCGAAGGUGUGCUGUGAGGCAUGCUGGAGGUAUCAGAAGUGCGAAUGCUGACAUAAGUAACGAUAAAGCGGGUGAAAAGCCCGCUCGCCGGAAGACCAAGGGUUCCUGUCCAACGUUAAUCGGGGCAGGGUGAGUCGACCCCUAAGGCGAGGCCGAAAGGCGUAGUCGAUGGGAAACAGGUUAAUAUUCCUGUACUUGGUGUUACUGCGAAGGGGGGACGGAGAAGGCUAUGUUGGCCGGGCGACGGUUGUCCCGGUUUAAGCGUGUAGGCUGGUUUUCCAGGCAAAUCCGGAAAAUCAAGGCUGAGGCGUGAUGACGAGGCACUACGGUGCUGAAGCAACAAAUGCCCUGCUUCCAGGAAAAGCCUCUAAGCAUCAGGUAACAUCAAAUCGUACCCCAAACCGACACAGGUGGUCAGGUAGAGAAUACCAAGGCGCUUGAGAGAACUCGGGUGAAGGAACUAGGCAAAAUGGUGCCGUAACUUCGGGAGAAGGCACGCUGAUAUGUAGGUGAAGUCCCUCGCGGAUGGAGCUGAAAUCAGUCGAAGAUACCAGCUGGCUGCAACUGUUUAUUAAAAACACAGCACUGUGCAAACACGAAAGUGGACGUAUACGGUGUGACGCCUGCCCGGUGCCGGAAGGUUAAUUGAUGGGGUUAGCGCAAGCGAAGCUCUUGAUCGAAGCCCCGGUAAACGGCGGCCGUAACUAUAACGGUCCUAAGGUAGCGAAAUUCCUUGUCGGGUAAGUUCCGACCUGCACGAAUGGCGUAAUGAUGGCCAGGCUGUCUCCACCCGAGACUCAGUGAAAUUGAACUCGCUGUGAAGAUGCAGUGUACCCGCGGCAAGACGGAAAGACCCCGUGAACCUUUACUAUAGCUUGACACUGAACAUUGAGCCUUGAUGUGUAGGAUAGGUGGGAGGCUUUGAAGUGUGGACGCCAGUCUGCAUGGAGCCGACCUUGAAAUACCACCCUUUAAUGUUUGAUGUUCUAACGUUGACCCGUAAUCCGGGUUGCGGACAGUGUCUGGUGGGUAGUUUGACUGGGGCGGUCUCCUCCUAAAGAGUAACGGAGGAGCACGAAGGUUGGCUAAUCCUGGUCGGACAUCAGGAGGUUAGUGCAAUGGCAUAAGCCAGCUUGACUGCGAGCGUGACGGCGCGAGCAGGUGCGAAAGCAGGUCAUAGUGAUCCGGUGGUUCUGAAUGGAAGGGCCAUCGCUCAACGGAUAAAAGGUACUCCGGGGAUAACAGGCUGAUACCGCCCAAGAGUUCAUAUCGACGGCGGUGUUUGGCACCUCGAUGUCGGCUCAUCACAUCCUGGGGCUGAAGUAGGUCCCAAGGGUAUGGCUGUUCGCCAUUUAAAGUGGUACGCGAGCUGGGUUUAGAACGUCGUGAGACAGUUCGGUCCCUAUCUGCCGUGGGCGCUGGAGAACUGAGGGGGGCUGCUCCUAGUACGAGAGGACCGGAGUGGACGCAUCACUGGUGUUCGGGUUGUCAUGCCAAUGGCACUGCCCGGUAGCUAAAUGCGGAAGAGAUAAGUGCUGAAAGCAUCUAAGCACGAAACUUGCCCCGAGAUGAGUUCUCCCUGACUCCUUGA